AUAAAGAGAACAGGAAAACAGACUGUCCCGCAGCCCCUCCCCCUCUGGGUUGGGGGACGCGGGGGGGGCAACGGGGCGGGGGGGUGGGGGGGGGGGGGCACAGCCUCCUUCCGUGGGGAUUCCUCGCCUAACCCCCCCUGGGACCCUCCCCGUCGGGCCAGGCUGGGUGCUGCCUGCCCCUCCUCUGUGCUUCCCCUCUGGAAGCCCAGAGACCCUCACAGCUGCCCCCCCCCCCCCCCGCCCGGGGUCCUCUUGCCGGCAGGUGGAGGUGGCCCGGAGGUCCUGGAUCUUCAAGGACGAGGACGGCCAGGAUCAGAUCGGGGGCUUCGUGAAGGAGUUCGCCAACAUUGCCUUCCUCACCAUCAAGGGUGCCGGCCACAUGGUGCCCACCGACCAGCCACGGGCAGCCUUCAACAUGAUGCAGCGGUACCUCAACCGGCAGCCCUUCUAGGCCCGGGAGCAGCGCCUUUCCUGGGGAGACCAGCCCCCUCCCGCUGCCGCAUGGCUGCAAAGAGCGGCUCCUGACCGGCCUUGGGUGGGAUUCUGGAGGGUCUCUGGCCCUGGGCAGGUCCUCUGGCAGGGCCCUGUCUCCCCUCGCCCUUCUCUGCGCAUUUGCACUGUCCUCAGGGAGGAAGCAGGUCCCCUCGGUGGUGGGGGGUGCGUUUCUCAGCCUUCAUUCCGGCGGCUCUUGCAGGAGGAACUCGACGGGGGGUCAAGAGCAGCCAGGUUCUCUUUCCUGGUCCAAGCAAGCGAUUAAACUCUUAUUUUUCUACUGGAAAA
RNAcentral lists this long non-coding RNA (780 nucleotides) under Notechis scutatus (mainland tiger snake). RNAcentral describes it as "lncRNA (ENSNSUG00000017776.1)". The record is from RNAcentral. Lineage: Eukaryota; Metazoa; Chordata; Lepidosauria; Squamata; Elapidae.